AUUGUUUCUUGGCUUUUUGGCUAAGGGAAAAUGUAUGUCAUUAUCAGUUUAAUAUCUGAUAUGGCCUAUAUUCAAGGUUGGUAUAGUAAAUGGGGAUUUUUGGAGCAGAGAGAUGGAAUUUGAGCUUGCUCUAUGUAUGUAUAUAGUUUGCUUUAACUGUAUGUAUUGACUGGGGCUUGUCCUU
Suncus etruscus (white-toothed pygmy shrew) is the source of this 184-nucleotide small nuclear RNA. RefSeq annotates it as U2 spliceosomal RNA. NCBI's taxonomy places the organism in Eukaryota, Metazoa, Chordata, Mammalia, Eulipotyphla, Soricidae. The record is from RefSeq and is a predicted model, not a curated record. The transcript has a single exon.